Molecule: long non-coding RNA, 1502 nt
Organism: Xenopus laevis (African clawed frog)
Lineage: Eukaryota; Metazoa; Chordata; Amphibia; Anura; Pipidae
Exons: 5
Source: RefSeq, a predicted model, not a curated record
GUGCGCCACCUAGGAGACACCACCUGCAAACAAAACGCAGCACAAGACAUUAAAUCCCAAAUUUCAGAUGAAUCAGCCAUUCGAUGUCAUUGUUGUUAACCCCAGAAGAUACAAUGGGCCAAAUCUACUGCUAAAAUAUAUAAAAGAUUUCACCUAGUCCAUAUACUGUAGCUGUGGAUGAAUGGAGCUCUCCAUAUUAUGCUUUACGAGAUCGCCAAGGUAAUGCUAUCGUGGUCGCUGCCUGUGAUAUUGAUGAAGAUGGAAGUACCUGAAAUGACCUACCAUGUGGGGGGGUCUUCAAAGCCGCAAAAAGAGCUGAAGUCACGAAAAGACCCGAAGUUGAAGUCCUGAAGCCUUGAAAGGACCCAAAGCCAGGAAAGGAAGCGGCUGGGUUGAUUAUCUGCAAAGCUUCUGGAUAAUUUUUGGAGCAGCUGGAUUAUCUUCAAAACAAUUGGGAGGAUUAUCCUCAGAUACAGGGAGGAUUAUUUUCCGAGCGGAUGGAAAAAUUGUAUUCAGAAGGACUAAGAUGAUUCUCUGCAGAGCGCCUGGGAGGAGUGGUUGGAUUAUCUUCAGAGUGGUUGGAUUAUCUUCAGAGCGGCUAGGAGCAUUACCUUAAGAACAUCUGGAUUACUUUAAGAACAGAUGGAUUACCUUAAAAACAGAUGGAUUACCUUAAAAACAGAUGGAUUACCUUAAAAACAGAUGGAUUACCUUAAAAACAGAUGGAUAACCUUAAAAACAGCUGGAUUACCUUAAAAACAGCUGGAUUACCUUAAAAACAGCUGGAUUACCUUAAAAACAGCUGGAUUACCUUAAAAACAGAUGGAUUACCUUAAAAACAGAUGGAUUACCUUAAAAACAGAUGGAUUACCUUCAGAGCAGCUGGAUUACCUUCAGAGCAGCUGGAUUAUCUUCAGUGGAUUAUCUGCAGAAAGAGAGCGCGUUGCUGUGUGUCUACAUCUAAUUACAUUUUAAAUAUGCCAUGGAACAGCCCAAUCAGUAGUGUCCCAUUGCUAGUUCGGGCCUGUUACUCGCUGCUUAUGCUUUAAAUUACAAGAUGUUUUUAUAAGAUCAACACCAGAAGGAAAAGUAGUGAUGCAUUAUAUUACUAAUAGAUUUCUCACAAUAGUGCAAGAUAGAACGCUGUAUUGAUUAUGCAGAAUGUUCUACCAUACCUGCAUAAAACAGCUCUAGAAGCUCUUCAUUUGCUUAUGAUUGCGGCACCAUAUAAGUUCUGUGUGAUGUAACUUCCUGUUCCUGCUGAAUUGUGCUUACUACAGGGGAUACCUAUGCUGCCAUAGUUUUACUGGAGAUCACUGGGAUUUUUUAACGUUUUAUACGUUUUACAUUUUCUACCUAUUUUACACUUUUACUAUUACCCUGGACUAAUGAGGUAAUUGGUGGGAGGAGGAACACUGUGUGGUAAUUAAGGUUAUAAGAGGUGUUUUGAUCAUAGUUACAUAGUUACAUAGUUAAAUUGGGUUGAAAAAAGACAAAGUCCA